This 568-nucleotide ribosomal RNA is filed under the name Salmonella enterica subsp. enterica serovar Indiana. Its description in RNAcentral is "partial 23S ribosomal RNA". It matches the Rfam family "Bacterial large subunit ribosomal RNA", at positions 2235 to 2802 of the family's 2925-position model. Lineage: Bacteria; Pseudomonadati; Pseudomonadota; Gammaproteobacteria; Enterobacterales; Enterobacteriaceae. The record is from RNAcentral.
GUAAUCCGGGUUGCGGACAGUGUCUGGUGGGUAGUUUGACUGGGGCGGUCUCCUCCUAAAGAGUAACGGAGGAGCACGAAGGUUGGCUAAUCCUGGUCGGACAUCAGGAGGUUAGUGCAAUGGCAUAAGCCAGCUUGACUGCGAGCGUGACGGCGCGAGCAGGUGCGAAAGCAGGUCAUAGUGAUCCGGUGGUUCUGAAUGGAAGGGCCAUCGCUCAACGGAUAAAAGGUACUCCGGGGAUAACAGGCUGAUACCGCCCAAGAGUUCAUAUCGACGGCGGUGUUUGGCACCUCGAUGUCGGCUCAUCACAUCCUGGGGCUGAAGUAGGUCCCAAGGGUAUGGCUGUUCGCCAUUUAAAGUGGUACGCGAGCUGGGUUUAGAACGUCGUGAGACAGUUCGGUCCCUAUCUGCCGUGGGCGCUGGAGAACUGAGGGGGGCUGCUCCUAGUACGAGAGGACCGGAGUGGACGCAUCACUGGUGUUCGGGUUGUCAUGCCAAUGGCACUGCCCGGUAGCUAAAUGCGGAAGAGAUAAGUGCUGAAAGCAUCUAAGCACGAAACUUGCCCCGA